GACGAACGCUGGCGGCGUGCCUAAUACAUGCAAGUAGAACGCUGAAGGAGGAGCUUGCUUCUCUGGAUGAGUUGCGAACGGGUGAGUAACGCGUAGGUAACCUGCCUGGUAGCGGGGGAUAACUAUUGGAAACGAUAGCUAAUACCGCAUAAUAGCAGUUGUUGCAUGACAACUGUUUGAAAGGUGCAAUUGCACCACUACCAGAUGGACCUGCGUUGUAUUAGCUAGUUGGUGGGGUAACGGCUCACCAAGGCGACGAUACAUAGCCGACCUGAGAGGGUGAUCGGCCACACUGGGACUGAGACACGGCCCAGACUCCUACGGGGGCAGCAGUAGGGAAUCUUCGGCAAUGGACGGAAGUCUGACCGAGCAACGCCGCGUGAGUGAAGAAGGUUUUCGGAUCGUAAAGCUCUGUUGUAAGAGAAGAACGAGUGUGAGAGUGGAAAGUUCACACUGUGACGGUAUCUCACCAGAAAGGGACGGCUAACUACGU
RNAcentral lists this ribosomal RNA (493 nucleotides) under uncultured bacterium. Its description in RNAcentral is "partial 16S ribosomal RNA". It matches the Rfam family "Bacterial small subunit ribosomal RNA", at positions 28 to 506 of the family's 1533-position model. The record is from RNAcentral.